GUUAGCACAGACAUCUGAGGAGAUGAUAACAACUAAUAAAAGGUGUGGAACAUGACAGCUGGUUAAGGCAGAAAUAGUCUAACAUGCUCUACAUCUAAUGUGGACAUUCUGCUAGAUAACAGAAAGCAACACAAACAGUUUUGACAAGAAGAAUCACAGAAUAGAGGCAAAUGAACAAAAACACAUAGAUAAAAAACACAAAAAGACAGAAAUUAAAUUAAAGAUCAACCACAAGGAGGCAAACAAAUCCAAGGAAACUGCUGGACAUCGCUGCUGAGGACGACUGAGGAGGUCAAACCUAAACCCUAAAGGAGAAAAAGAAGGUAGAGAGAUGACGCUUGGUGGGGCUAAUUGAUUUAGACCAGUUAGAGGCAGAGGACAGGACUAAUGUAGGGAUUUGAGUUGUGAAGCACCGACUGUUAGAAACAGCUUUCCGAUGUGACUUGGUCUAGUUCUAGAUGUUCCUCUGGUUAGUUAGUUUUCAGGCCUAGUUUGAGGGAAAAGAACCCUCUGCAGAAAUAUUCUCCAUAUCAUCUAGGCCUGUCCUGACCGCAGUGGAUCUCUUCUGUGUUUUUUGAAUCCCAUGUUGGACCGAGCCGCUACAAGCUUUGGGCCAAUCAGAAGAUGCUGAUGAGAUCUGCAGCGACCAAACCAGAGGAGGAUCAUCUGAGCUGCUGACCUUCACAAAGAGUGAGAGCAUGUUCAACACUGUGGACGUCCAAAAGCAGAAGUCCUGUGAGGAACCGGGACAUCCAGGAUGAUGAGGAGCUUCCCAGUCUCUACCUGAGGACGGCACAGAGAAAGACUGGAACAGAAAACACACGGAGGAAAGCAGGUUGAACAUGGAAGCAGUGUUCUAGCAGUCGGAUCACAUUGGAAAAGAAUCCAUCCACAUGUGUUUGGAGGAGCUGAAGAAGAGGAUGGAGCACACAGACCGCUAAAGAGAAGAAACAUGGCUCCUCUAUUUGUCUCUCCAACGUUCUGGAGUCUGAAAAACGUUGACGACCCCGCAGCUAAACCAUCAGUCUGCUCCACCCAGUAGAAGAAGAUGAGGUCAUCUGCUCCUUGGACCGGCGCCUCUGUGUCUGUCGGACGUCUGCUGUCCUGUUAAAGACCCGCUCAGACAUGGAA
Molecule: long non-coding RNA, 1131 nt
Organism: Cyprinodon tularosa
Lineage: Eukaryota; Metazoa; Chordata; Actinopteri; Cyprinodontiformes; Cyprinodontidae
Exons: 5
Source: RefSeq, a predicted model, not a curated record